Eleginops maclovinus (Patagonian blennie) is the source of this 1548-nucleotide long non-coding RNA. RefSeq lists it as uncharacterized. Lineage: Eukaryota; Metazoa; Chordata; Actinopteri; Perciformes; Eleginopidae. The record is from RefSeq and is a predicted model, not a curated record. The transcript has 2 exons.
ACAUCUAAUCCAUCUGCAAACAAUGAGUAUUGUUCUUCAACUAUGCAAAUAUUCUGCUUUGAACAUGCCAUUUGUCCACCGGUGCAACUGUCCACGGUAGAAUUACUUAUCUUAAAACGUCUGUAAUUUAAUGAGAAAUUAAUCUAAAUACAUUAAAAUACUUGAAUGCAUGUCAUACGAGUGUUUACUUAAUGAAUCUAGAGGUUAUAAGUGUUAAGGUCCCUAUGUAGAGUUAUUAUGACACAUUACAUUUUGUCCACAAAACUGGUGUCCUCCUGGAGCAACGGCAUUAUGUAGAUAUAAAACAGGCAUUAAUGUGACCACCCCAUUACUGAGAGGGGUCCUUCCAGAACCAGGAAGUACAGAAGACAUCACUGGAGCACAUGGACUGUACACAAGAUAUCAGCAGAAGAAAGCAUGCGGGAAAAUCGUUCAGCAAAGCGUGAAGUCUGUGUCGCCAGCAACACAGAAGAAGCUACAAGAGAAAUGGAGAGAGUCAAAGCGGAGAUGUAGGGCAAGGGAAAAAGCCACUAAUGCUGUCCUUGAUCUUACGCCACAAUCACCUCAGGAUCAUGACCAGCCAUUUGAAGAGAUCAAUGACCCCCCAGUGGCAAGGCCAGUUAAAAAAAAGGAAGUGGAGCAAGAGGAAGAGUACACUGUGGGGAAAUUUGUCGUAGUGAAGUACGAGAAUAAGCCAUUUGUGGGCCAAAUCAUCCAAAUAAACGAGGAGCACUUUGCAGUGAAUUGCAUGGAGCAAGUAAGCAACAAAAACAUAUUCAAGUGGCCUGCUAAACAAGACUGUAUUUUGUACAGCAAGGACCAACUUGUUUCUGUCAUCUCUGAGCCAGAGCCCUACCAGCGGGCCGCACAACUCACCAAGUACGACUGGUUGCUUUUCAAUGAGGUGUGAAAAGAACCACAGGAUGUUUCACUUAGGGCUGGAAGCAGUUAUGAUCAAGUUAUGAUCAAGUUAUAUUGUGAUAUACUUUGCAGCUAUAUCGCCCAGGCCUAGUUUCACUGUGUUGUUGUUCAAUGAAUUUUGUAGAUGAAUUCAAAUGUUCAAUGUUCAACGUUAUUUUGUAGAAUCUACAAUGCAGAUGAAUUCAAUUAAAAAUAUAUAUUUUACCUGUGUUUUGACUGAAUUUAAAAUAAUAAAUUUGACUGUACACAACAUAGGCAUACUAGUAUUCUGUUGUCCAACGGUGCAACAAAAUGUCCUGUGGUGCGACAAAUUGAAUUGUGAGGGGAAAAGGUAUUUUAAUGAAAAAUGUAUGUAAAAAGUGUUGGAUAGUAUAACAAUGAUAUCAUCACUAUGCAGCUUUAAGGAUGAAAUGAAGAUUCCUUGAGUUUUAUACAAAUUAUAAUGAAUGUAACCCAGACAUUUGGGUUAAGUCUCUAUGUGUACAUCUUAUAGUAUAUAAAUAACAUAAUUCUGAAUUUGUUGGGGGUAUGUUUGAUGUGGAAAUAUAAUUGGGACAAACUAAUAUGCCUUGUGCUUAUCUAUCUUACCUGUCCAACAUUCUCUGAAUUAAAUAAUGGCAUUCUUUA